GGGUUGUGAGGUUAAGCGACUAAGCGUACACGGUGGAUGCCCUGGCAGUCAGAGGCGAUGAAGGACGUGCUAAUCUGCGAUAAGCGUCGGUAAGGUGAUAUGAACCGUUAUAACCGGCGAUUUCCGAAUGGGGAAACCCAGUGUGAUUCGUCACACUAUCAUUAACUGAAUCCAUAGGUUAAUGAGGCGAACCGGGGGAACUGAAACAUCUAAGUACCCCGAGGAAAAGAAAUCAACCGAGAUUCCCCCAGUAGCGGCGAGCGAACGGGGAGCAGCCCAGAGCCUGAAUCAGUGUGUGUGUUAGUGGAAGCGUCUGGAAAGGCGCGCGAUACAGGGUGACAGCCCCGUACACAAAAAUGCACAUGCUGUGAGCUCGAUGAGUAGGGCGGGACACGUGGUAUCCUGUCUGAAUAUGGGGGGACCAUCCUCCAAGGCUAAAUACUCCUGACUGACCGAUAGUGAACCAGUACCGUGAGGGAAAGGCGAAAAGAACCCCGGCGAGGGGAGUGAAAAAGAACCUGAAACCGUGUACGUACAAGCAGUGGGAGCACGCUUAGGCGUGUGACUGCGUACCUUUUGUAUAAUGGGUCAGCGACUUAUAUUCUGUAGCAAGGUUAACCGAAUAGGGGAGCCGAAGGGAAACCGAGUCUUAACUGGGCGUUAAGUUGCAGGGUAUAGACCCGAAACCCGGUGAUCUAGCCAUGGGCAGGUUGAAGGUUGGGUAACACUAACUGGAGGACCGAACCGACUAAUGUUGAAAAAUUAGCGGAUGACUUGUGGCUGGGGGUGAAAGGCCAAUCAAACCGGGAGAUAGCUGGUUCUCCCCGAAAGCUAUUUAGGUAGCGCCUCGUGAAUUCAUCUCCGGGGGUAGAGCACUGUUUCGGCAAGGGGGUCAUCCCGACUUACCAACCCGAUGCAAACUGCGAAUACCGGAGAAUGUUAUCACGGGAGACACACGGCGGGUGCUAACGUCCGUCGUGAAGAGGGAAACAACCCAGACCGCCAGCUAAGGUCCCAAAGUCAUGGUUAAGUGGGAAACGAUGUGGGAAGGCCCAGACAGCCAGGAUGUUGGCUUAGAAGCAGCCAUCAUUUAAAGAAAGCGUAAUAGCUCACUGGUCGAGUCGGCCUGCGCGGAAGAUGUAACGGGGCUAAACCAUGCACCGAAGCUGCGGCAGCGACGCUGAUGCGUUGUUGGGUAGGGGAGCGUUCUGUAAGCCUGCGAAGGUGUGCUGUGAGGCAUGCUGGAGGUAUCAGAAGUGCGAAUGCUGACAUAAGUAACGAUAAAGCGGGUGAAAAGCCCGCUCGCCGGAAGACCAAGGGUUCCUGUCCAACGUUAAUCGGGGCAGGGUGAGUCGACCCCUAAGGCGAGGCCGAAAGGCGUAGUCGAUGGGAAACAGGUUAAUAUUCCUGUACUUGGUGUUACUGCGAAGGGGGGACGGAGAAGGCUAUGUUGGCCGGGCGACGGUUGUCCCGGUUUAAGCGUGUAGGCUGGUUUUCCAGGCAAAUCCGGAAAAUCAAGGCUGAGGCGUGAUGACGAGGCACUACGGUGCUGAAGCAACAAAUGCCCUGCUUCCAGGAAAAGCCUCUAAGCAUCAGGUAACAUCAAAUCGUACCCCAAACCGACACAGGUGGUCAGGUAGAGAAUACCAAGGCGCUUGAGAGAACUCGGGUGAAGGAACUAGGCAAAAUGGUGCCGUAACUUCGGGAGAAGGCACGCUGAUAUGUAGGUGAAGCGACUUGCUCGUGGAGCUGAAAUCAGUCGAAGAUACCAGCUGGCUGCAACUGUUUAUUAAAAACACAGCACUGUGCAAACACGAAAGUGGACGUAUACGGUGUGACGCCUGCCCGGUGCCGGAAGGUUAAUUGAUGGGGUUAGCGCAAGCGAAGCUCUUGAUCGAAGCCCCGGUAAACGGCGGCCGUAACUAUAACGGUCCUAAGGUAGCGAAAUUCCUUGUCGGGUAAGUUCCGACCUGCACGAAUGGCGUAAUGAUGGCCAGGCUGUCUCCACCCGAGACUCAGUGAAAUUGAACUCGCUGUGAAGAUGCAGUGUACCCGCGGCAAGACGGAAAGACCCCGUGAACCUUUACUAUAGCUUGACACUGAACAUUGAGCCUUGAUGUGUAGGAUAGGUGGGAGGCUUUGAAGUGUGGACGCCAGUCUGCAUGGAGCCGACCUUGAAAUACCACCCUUUAAUGUUUGAUGUUCUAACGUUGACCCGUGAUCCGGGUUGCGGACAGUGUCUGGUGGGUAGUUUGACUGGGGCGGUCUCCUCCUAAAGAGUAACGGAGGAGCACGAAGGUUGGCUAAUCCUGGUCGGACAUCAGGAGGUUAGUGCAAUGGCAUAAGCCAGCUUGACUGCGAGCGUGACGGCGCGAGCAGGUGCGAAAGCAGGUCAUAGUGAUCCGGUGGUUCUGAAUGGAAGGGCCAUCGCUCAACGGAUAAAAGGUACUCCGGGGAUAACAGGCUGAUACCGCCCAAGAGUUCAUAUCGACGGCGGUGUUUGGCACCUCGAUGUCGGCUCAUCACAUCCUGGGGCUGAAGUAGGUCCCAAGGGUAUGGCUGUUCGCCAUUUAAAGUGGUACGCGAGCUGGGUUUAGAACGUCGUGAGACAGUUCGGUCCCUAUCUGCCGUGGGCGCUGGAGAACUGAGGGGGGCUGCUCCUAGUACGAGAGGACCGGAGUGGACGCAUCACUGGUGUUCGGGUUGUCAUGCCAAUGGCACUGCCCGGUAGCUAAAUGCGGAAGAGAUAAGUGCUGAAAGCAUCUAAGCACGAAACUUGCCCCGAGAUGAGUUCUCCCUGACUCCUUGAGAGUCCUGAAGGAACGUUGAAGACGACGACGUUGAUAGGCCGGGUGUGUAAGCGCAGCGAUGCGUUGAGCUAACCGGUACUAAUGAACCGUGAGGCUUAACCUUACAACGCCGAAGCUGUU
RNAcentral lists this ribosomal RNA (2930 nucleotides) under Escherichia coli. RNAcentral's name for it is "23S ribosomal RNA". It matches the Rfam family "Bacterial large subunit ribosomal RNA". The record is from RNAcentral. Lineage: Bacteria; Pseudomonadati; Pseudomonadota; Gammaproteobacteria; Enterobacterales; Enterobacteriaceae.